This 704-nucleotide long non-coding RNA is filed under the name Olea europaea subsp. europaea. The record is from RNAcentral. Lineage: Eukaryota; Viridiplantae; Streptophyta; Magnoliopsida; Lamiales; Oleaceae.
AAUUUUUCCCCAAUGUUUACACAACCGUGAGUGGCCCUAAGCUCUCACCCCAAGCACUCACCGUCACCAAUGGCCGACAUCAACCACACACGGGCACCACCGCCCAACAUCGACCACACGCCGGUACCACCCAUACUCCCAAACCCAUUUCAUUUCACCUCGCGAUUCUCCAUGAAUUGAGAAGAAAUCCACUGAGUGGAAGAAGACUAGAAUGUUUCAAGACAAGAACUAAAGAUGAAGAGAUGCUGUAGAUGGCAAUGAUUGAUUGGCAUGAUUUUUUGUUGUUGAGACUACAGACUUUACAGAUGACGAGGACAAGGAUACCCUCUCCAAUGAAACUUGAGAAAGUUAUAAGGAGGAGCAAGAUGUCGACUAUGGAAGAAGACGAAGAAGAAGAAAUUGUUGAGCCGGGAAAGGAAGUAGAAAUGGAGAUUGUCCACUAUGAUGAUUCAGCUUGUUGAUCAAUUAAAACCUCUCUGUGUUGAUAUAUAUUCGUAUUUGGUGGCGUAUAGAGUUUUGUAGUGUGUCUGAAUUUUCUUGGCCAACUUGCUGAAACUAAUGUAUUGGUGAUUGCUUUGAUUUGCAUAUCCUAAUGUUUAUAAACAAAUGUUUAUGUAUUGGUGACGUCAUUUACUCAUCUUUUAUGAAGAUUGCCUUGAUUUUUUCACCAAUUUAAGUUGAAAAUUUUCGUUCAAUGCUAUGUU